This 325-nucleotide ribosomal RNA is filed under the name Cercozoa sp. RNAcentral describes it as "SSU rRNA". It matches the Rfam family "Eukaryotic small subunit ribosomal RNA", at positions 631 to 955 of the family's 1831-position model. Lineage: Eukaryota; Cercozoa. The record is from RNAcentral.
GAUUUCUACUUGACCGUCCUGGCCCGCUUUCUUUUUGAAGGUGAGUGCUGAGAUGAGUCAGGUAUCCUUAUCAAGAGCCAGGCCUAUCCUUCACUGGAUUGGGCGUGUGCGAUUGAUAUCUUUUACUUUGAAAAAAUUAGAGUGUUUCAAGCAGGCUUUAUGCUAUGAAUACAUUAGCAUGGAAUAAUAAUUUAGGACUUCGGUUCUAUUUUGUUGGUUUCUAGGACUGAAGUAAUGAUUGAUAGGGAUAGUUGGGGGUGCUAGUAUUCAGCGGCCAGAGGUGAAAUUCUCGGAUUCGCUGAAGACUAACUUAUGCGAAAGCAUU